UACGUAGGCAGCAAGCGUUGUUCGGAUUUACUGGGCGUAAAGGGUGUGUAGGCGGUUCCUUAAGUUUGCUGUGAAAUCUCCCGGCUUAACCGGGAGGGUGCGGUGAAUACUGAGGGACUAGAGUACGGGAGAGGAAAGUGGAAUUCCUGGUGUAGCGGUGAAAUGCGUAGAUAUCUGGAGGAACACCGGUGGCGAAGGCGGCAUCCUGGACCAAUACUGACACUGAGGAGCGAAAGCCAGGGGAGCAAACGGG
This 253-nucleotide ribosomal RNA is filed under the name uncultured bacterium. RNAcentral's name for it is "partial 16S ribosomal RNA". It matches the Rfam family "Bacterial small subunit ribosomal RNA", at positions 524 to 776 of the family's 1533-position model. The record is from RNAcentral.